UCAGCCUUUCCGCCCAGGGCAAGGGGGGCGCCGCCGCCUUCCCGCUCCCCCAAAAGAGGGUGCUGCUUGACCAUCUCACGAACAUUGUCAAAGCUGAGCCCGUGGAUAUCAUUGAGUCUCCCGUCCGUCAGCAGGCGAUGGUUGCCCUCCGGCACCUGAGCAAGGUGCCAGAGCCGCUGAGCCGCGAGGAGAACCGGGAGGUGGCGGAGGUGUGCCUGGGCCGGGUCCUGGUCCUCCCUCCAGCGGGG
Molecule: long non-coding RNA, 248 nt
Organism: Elgaria multicarinata webbii
Lineage: Eukaryota; Metazoa; Chordata; Lepidosauria; Squamata; Anguidae
Exons: 3
Source: RefSeq, a predicted model, not a curated record